Paramuricea clavata is the source of this 649-nucleotide non-coding RNA. Lineage: Eukaryota; Metazoa; Cnidaria; Anthozoa; Malacalcyonacea; Plexauridae. The record is from the annotation of a GenBank genome assembly.
GUACUUCUUGACGUUUCGGCCACAUAAACAUUAUUACAAGUAUUGCAUCGUAUAAUCAUAAGUCAUUCCAUGCCCACCGCAAGGUCCUUUUCCCCCGUUGUACAUGCUAGACAGCCAUUCUUGCCACAAUUCUCUGUUUUGAACGGAUUUUCAUGAUGACAUCUUCAUGACAUCCUUCCUCUUAACUUGAUGUUAAAAUCUAGGUUUCUGAUCUCUGUUGAUAUUCUCUUUGUAGUUGCAACCUUGUUAUAGCUGAUUCGUUUCCUCCUUUCGCAUACUAAUUUUUCUUUUUCCUUAUUUUCUCCUUCGUUCUCUCCUCUUUAUUCCACUUAUUUGGUCUAUACAUUAGUCGUUCUCCACUUUCAGCUUCUUUUCCAAUGUUUGUUCCAACUUUAACUCUUGAAUAUCGACAACGUAGGAAAUCAGCGCACCAGUUUAUUAAACAGGGACGGACACCAAGUGCUUACAGCUUAUUGAUGAGAAUAUUAUGAUCAAUUCUGUCAAACGCCUUGGAAAAGUCUAUCAUACAAGCGUGUAUAUCACUGAACCGGUAGAGUCGGAAGGUCAUGUGAAUAAGAGCAAGAGUGGUAGGGCACUUCUUCAUGUUCCCGUAUUGGUACCGAUCGAUAUAAUGUACGAUCUGUUCAAA